AUGGCGGCUAAGCUUGCCAUUCUGAUCUCAUGCGCCAUGCUCCUAGACGCGGCGUGCCAUGGCCUCGAGGUGGGCUACUACAGAAGCACGUGCCCCAGAGCCGAGGCGCUCGUGCGCGCCGAGGUGAAGAAGGCCGUGCGCGCCGACGCCGGCUCCGGCGCCGGCAUCAUCCGCAUGCUCUUCCACGACUGCUUCGUCGAGGGCUGCGAUGCCUCCGUGCUGCUGGACCCCACGCCGGCCAACCCGCAGCCCGAGAAGCUGGGGGCGCCCAACAACCCCAGCCUCCGGGGCUUCGAGGUGAUCGACGCCGCCAAGGGCGCCCUCGAGCGCGCCUGCCCGGGCGUCGUCUCCUGCGCCGACAUCGUCGCCUUCGCCGCCCGCGACGCGUCCUACCUCCUCAGCCACGCCAGGGUGAGCUUCCACGUCCCCGCCGGCCGCCUCGACGGCCGCAGGUCCCUCGCCAACGACACGCUCCUCUUCCUGCCUGGCCCGACCUCCAACCUCAGCACCCUCGUCUCCGGCUUCGCCGCCAAGGGCCUCUCCGCCGAGGACAUGGUGGUGCUCUCCGGGGCGCACUCCAUCGGCCGGUCCCACUGCUCCUCCUUCGUCCCCGACCGCCUGGCCACCCAGUCCGACAUCGGCGCGCCGCUCGCUAGCCUCCUGCGCCGCCGGUGCCCGGCCAGCCCGACCACCGCCAACGACCCCACGGUGGUGCAGGACUUCGUGACGCCCAGGAAGCUCGACAACCAGUUCUACAAGAACGUGCUCGCGCGCAGGGUGCUCUUCACGUCCGACGCCGCGCUGCUCUCUUCGCAGGACACGGGGAGGAUGGUGCGCGCCAACGCCAGGUUCCCGGCGUCGUGGGAGAAGAAGUUCGCCAAAGCGAUGGUGAAGAUGGCCAACAUCGAAAUCAAGGGCAGCGGCGUCGGCGAGGUCAGGAAGAACUGCCGCUUCGUCAACUAG
This 963-nucleotide ribosomal RNA is filed under the name Triticum aestivum (bread wheat). RNAcentral describes it as "partial small subunit ribosomal RNA". The record is from RNAcentral. Lineage: Eukaryota; Viridiplantae; Streptophyta; Magnoliopsida; Poales; Poaceae.